Molecule: small nuclear RNA, 162 nt
Organism: Rhipicephalus microplus (southern cattle tick)
Lineage: Eukaryota; Metazoa; Arthropoda; Arachnida; Ixodida; Ixodidae
Product: U1 spliceosomal RNA
Source: RefSeq, a predicted model, not a curated record
AUACUUACUUGGUGCCGGGCUCUCCGAUGAUCAAGAAAUCGGGGUCCCCGUGAGUAGGCUUCUUCAUAGCACUACGGGGGGCUGAAGCACGCCCCUGCUCCAAACGGGUAGGAGGGGCAUGUUAUUUUUGGUAGUUGGGAUCGGCGCAUGCGCCAGCCCCGA